GAUGAACGCUAGCUACAGGCUUAACACAUGCAAGUCGAGGGGCAGCAUGGUCUUAGCUUGCUAAGGCCGAUGGCGACCGGCGCACGGGUGAGUAACACGUAUCCAACCUGCCGUCUACUCUUGGACAGCCUUCUGAAAGGAAGAUUAAUACAAGAUGGCAUCAUGAGUCCGCAUGUUCACAUGAUUAAAGGUAUUCCGGUAGACGAUGGGGAUGCGUUCCAUUAGAUAGUAGGCGGGGUAACGGCCCACCUAGUCUUCGAUGGAUAGGGGUUCUGAGAGGAAGGUCCCCCACAUUGGAACUGAGACACGGUCCAAACUCCUACGGGAGGCAGCAGUGAGGAAUAGUGGUCAAUGGGCGAGAGCCUGAACCAGCCAAGUAGCGUGAAGGAUGACUGCCCUAUGGGUUGUAAACUUCUUUUAUAAAGGAAUAAAGUCGGGUAUGGAUACCCGUUUGCAUGUACUUUAUGAAUAAGGAUCGGCUAACUCCGUG
RNAcentral lists this ribosomal RNA (490 nucleotides) under uncultured bacterium. RNAcentral describes it as "partial 16S ribosomal RNA". It matches the Rfam family "Bacterial small subunit ribosomal RNA", at positions 28 to 507 of the family's 1533-position model. The record is from RNAcentral.